UAUCAUGCAGUCGAACGCUUCUUUCCUCCCGAGUGCUUGCACUCAAUUGGAAAGAGGAGGGAGGACGGGUGAGUAACACGUGGGUAACCUACCCAUCAGAGGGGGAUAACACCUUGGAAACAGGUGCUAAUACCGCAUAACAGUUUAUGCCGCAUGGCAUAAGAGUGAAAGGCGCUUUCGGGUGUCGCUGAUGGAUGGACCCGCGGUGCAUUAGCUAGUUGGUGAGGUAACGGCUCACCAAGGCCACGAUGCAUAGCCGACCUGAGAGGGUGAUCGGCCACACUGGGACUGAGACACGGCCCAGACUCCUACGGGAGGCAGCAGUAGGGAAUCUUCGGCAAUGGACGAAAGUCUGACCGAGCAACGCCGCGUGAGUGAAGAAGGUUUUCGGAUCGUAAAACUCUGUUGUUAGAGAAGAACAAGGACGUUAGUAACUGAACGUCCCCUGACGGUAUCUAACCAGAAAGCCACGGCUAACUACGUGCCAGCAGCCGCGGUAAUACGUAGGUGGCAAGCGUUGUCCGGAUUUAUUGGGCGUAAAGCGAGCGCAGGCGGUUUCUUAAGUCUGAUGUGAAAGCCCCCGGCUCAACCGGGGAGGGUCAUUGGAAACUGGGAGACUUGAGUGCAGAAGAGGAGAGUGGAAUUCCAUGUGUAGCGGUGAAAUGCGUAGAUAUA
This 675-nucleotide ribosomal RNA is filed under the name Enterococcus sp. RNAcentral's name for it is "bacterial SSU rRNA". It matches the Rfam family "Bacterial small subunit ribosomal RNA", at positions 51 to 698 of the family's 1533-position model. Lineage: Bacteria; Bacillati; Bacillota; Bacilli; Lactobacillales; Enterococcaceae. The record is from RNAcentral.